UACGGAGGGUGCAAGCGUUGUUCGGAAUUACUGGGCGUAAAGCGCGUGUAGGCGGUCUUGUAAGUCGGAUGUGAAAGCCCUCGGCUCAACCGGGGAAGUGCAUCCGAUACUGCAAGACUUGAGUACUGGAGAGGAAAGGGGAAUUCCCGGUGUAGAGGUGAAAUUCGUAGAUAUCGGGAGGAACACCAGCGGCGAAGGCGCCUUUCUGGACAGAUACUGACGCUGAGACGCGAAAGCGUGGGGAGCAAACAGG
This 253-nucleotide unclassified non-coding RNA is filed under the name uncultured delta proteobacterium. RNAcentral describes it as "contains 16S-23S intergenic spacer region". It matches the Rfam family "Bacterial small subunit ribosomal RNA", at positions 524 to 776 of the family's 1533-position model. The record is from RNAcentral. Lineage: Bacteria; Deltaproteobacteria.